Molecule: small nuclear RNA, 102 nt
Organism: Protopterus annectens (West African lungfish)
Lineage: Eukaryota; Metazoa; Chordata; Ceratodontiformes; Protopteridae
Source: RefSeq, a predicted model, not a curated record
GCUUGCUUCAUCAGCAUGUGUAAAAUUGAAACGAUACAGAGAAGAUUAGUAUGGUCCAUGUGCAAAGAUGACAUGUAAAUUCAUGAAGCAUUCCAUAUUUUC